AUUGAACGCUGGCGGCAUGCUUUACACAUGCAAGUCGAACGGUAACAGGCCGCAAGGUGCUGACGAGUGGCGAACGGGUGAGUAAUGCAUCGGAACGUGCCCAGUCGUGGGGGAUAACUACUCGAAAGAGUAGCUAAUACCGCAUACGAUCUAUGGAUGAAAGCGGGGGACCGUAAGGCCUCGCGCGAUUGGAGCGGCCGAUGUCAGAUUAGGCAGUUGGUGGGGUAAAGGCUCACCAAGCCAACGAUCUGUAGCUGGUCUGAGAGGACGACCAGCCACACUGGGACUGAGACACGGCCCAGACUCCUACGGGAGGCAGCAGUGGGGAAUUUUGGACAAUGGGCGCAAGCCUGAUCCAGCAAUGCCGCGUGCAGGAAGAAGGCCUUCGGGUUGUAAACUGCUUUUGUACGGAACGAAACGGCUCUGGUUAAUACCCGGGGCUAAUGACGGUACCGUAAGAAUAAGCACCGGCUAACUACGUG
Molecule: ribosomal RNA, 482 nt
Filed under: uncultured bacterium
Lineage: Bacteria
Description: partial 16S ribosomal RNA
Rfam family: Bacterial small subunit ribosomal RNA
Source: RNAcentral